Molecule: ribosomal RNA, 443 nt
Filed under: uncultured bacterium
Lineage: Bacteria
Description: SSU rRNA
Rfam family: Bacterial small subunit ribosomal RNA
Source: RNAcentral
AGAGCGAACGCUGGCGGCAGGCCUAACACAUGCAAGUCGAGCGCCCCGCAAGGGGAGCGGCAGACGGGAGAGUAACACGUGGGAACGUACCCUUCAGUCCGGAACAACCCAGGGAAACUUGGGCUAAUACCGGAUACGUCCGUAAGGAGAAAGAUUUAUCGCUGAAGGAUCGGCCCGCGUCUGAUUAGCUUGUUGGUGAGGUAACGGCUCACCAAGGCGACGAUCAGUAGCUGGUCUGAGAGGAUGAUCAGCCUCACUAGGACUGAGACACGGCCCAGACUCCUACGGGAGGCAGCAGUGGGGAAUAUUGGACAAUGGGCGCAAGCCUGAUCCAGCCAUGCCGCGUGGGUGAUGAAGGCCCUAGGGUUGUAAAGCCCUUUCGGCGGGGAAGAUAAUGACGGUACCCGCAGAAGAAGCCCGGCUAACUUCGUGCCAGCAGCCGC